This is a ribosomal RNA of Actinomyces sp. oral taxon 448, 117 nucleotides long. NCBI's taxonomy places the organism in Bacteria, Bacillati, Actinomycetota, Actinomycetes, Actinomycetales, Actinomycetaceae. The record is from Rfam.
CUCGGUGGUCAUAGCGGAGGAGUCACGCCCGGACCCAUCCCGAACCCGGAAGCUAAGCCCUCCAGCGCCCAUGGUACUGCUCCCACCAGGGAACGGAAGAGUAGGACACCACCGAGC